AGUACGCAUAUCCGAAGCAAUCGAUAUCAGUGCGAUGUCCCCGGCCAGUCAUAGCUCGGACGUCGCCUCAACAAGAUCCUUCGGAUCAUGAUGAUGGAGCUCGAGCUCCUGAGGUACAAGGCCUACACCCAGAACGUCAUCUGGUUUCUGAAGCUCGCUGGACUCUGGCCUGAAUCGCAUCCGGUGCCCAAAAAGAUACUUUCCACGAUAACGCUGAGCUCCAUUCUCGUGAUCGUGCUGACCGUGUCCAACUUUAGCUUCCACAAUCUUGGCAACAUCAUGGUGUUCACCAGUGGUAUGUGCAUGGCUGCCAGCUCUACGUCAGCCUUCUCGAAGGUCGCCCUGUUUCUGCUGCAUCGAGAGGACGUCGUCUACCUGAACAAGCAUCUGAGCGGAGGCUUCAUGCGCGACAUGGAUGAACCGGACAACCGUCCGGACCUUUUGAGCAACGUCAAGACUUUCGAGAGAUUCAUGGUUACGCACGUGAUCAGCGUUGCCAUCGCCAUGUUCACCUACAGCGUCCGUCCUCUGCUAGUCCUGCGAAAACACGGCAAGUACAUUCGAUCCUUCCCCGCGGUCUAUCCGUUCGCCUACGAACCAGGUGGAUUGGUGCACUGGAUCCUCUACGCCGUGGAGGUGUCGGGUACCGCGUCUCUCUGGACGGUGACCAUUGGGGUGGACUGCGUUUUCGGGGUCUACGCGCUCCAGGUGUGCGGCGAGCUGAGGAUUCUGUCGCGAAAAUUUCGAGAGCUCAGGGCCGACGAUAACUACAAAGAGAAGCUGAAGGAUUGCAUUCGCAGACAUCACGUGCUGAUCAACGCGAAGAACAAACUGGAGAACAUCUACGGUUUGAUCUCGAUACUGCUGAUCACGUCCACUACACUCGUGCUUUGUUCCCUUGUCUUUCAAGUCAGCGAGCUACUUGCGUACGGCGCAUCUCUGCGUCUAUCUUAUUCCAAAGUUUCUGCAAAUUUUCACCUACGCGUGGUACGGAAACCUCAUAGCCGAAGAGAGCGGAGCAUGUCUGGAUGCAAUGUACGGCUCGCACUGGACGGACUCUUGUGACAAGAAUUUCAAAAACGACAUCCUCAUAGUUCUGGCGCAAGAGCCGCUGGCCCUGGUGGCUAUGGGUUGCAUGGUUUUGCAGUUGGACUUGUUCGCGAAAACCGUCAAAACCGCAGUGUCGUACUUUUUUCUCCUUCGAACAAUGAACGAAGGAAGCGAGUAAAAGGAAUCACGAUACGAGCAUUGGAAUAGUGAAGAUUCUAUUUGACUGUUAAAAUUUAUAUUGAGAUUAUAACGUUUCUUAGAUAUCAUAGAAGAGAAAAUAACGUUGCUGGCGAGUGAUCUACUGCACUGGGAUUUUUGUAUUGUGAAUGGGUAAUAAAUUACAAGAGAUCUUUUUUUCUCAA
Nasonia vitripennis (jewel wasp) is the source of this 1412-nucleotide RNA transcript. It is a transcript of the gene named odorant receptor 262, with no coding region annotated. NCBI's taxonomy places the organism in Eukaryota, Metazoa, Arthropoda, Insecta, Hymenoptera, Pteromalidae. The transcript has 5 exons. The record is from RefSeq and is marked inferred.